AGACUGCCUGAGUCUUCUGACCUUCAUCUUUCCCCUGUGUUGGAUGCCUCCUGCCCUCAAACAUCAGACUCCAGGUUCUUCAGCUUUUGGACUCUUGGACCUACCCCCCGAGUGGUUUGCCAGGGGCUCUCAGGCCUUCGGCUACAGACUGAGGGCUGCAUUAUCAGCUUUCCUACUUUUGAGGUUUUGGGACUUUACUGGCUUUCUUGCUCCUCAACUUGCAGAUGGCCUGUUGUGGGACCUCACCUUGUGAUCAUGUACAUGAGGGAAAUACACACCCCUCCCAGGGAUGAUGGAAGGUUAAGGUCCUAACACCUCCUGCACAUCUGAGCAGCUGCACAUUGAACCAGAUAGUCCUGGAAUGUGGGAAAACAGAGGCAGACUCAAGAGUCUGGAACAUUAUUUUAGGAUCACACAAAAAAGAUACAUAAUUUUCAUAGAAUGAUACUGAAAGCAUCUCAAAAAUAAAAUCACGAGUAUCUGCAGAUCACUAUGAGACUGGACUGGAACAUUACCUUCAGGUGUGUUGCUUCGCCUUUGGAGAAUGCCAUCUGCCAGAUAUGGGAUCAACCUCUUAAGUCUAACAUAGCAAAGAAUAUCCCCCAUACCAUUUUACUGAAGAAAAACAACAAACAGCAGUUCCUUCCGCCACACUGGGUCUUAGCACAUGCAGAGCUGUGGAGUCCUGUCUGUGCACAGAGACAGGCAUUGACAGGUGGAGUCAGCUUCUCCACCACUGACAUCUUUCCAAGUCAGUGCUGUGCUAUGUCUGCAAAUGAGAAAGGGGCAGCCUGGAUGAUGCUAUAAUUGGCAGUACCAACUCCAUGGAAAUAUUCAGAGGCUUCAGCUGUCAUUUUAAAACUGUCCUUCAGGUGGUGCCAUGUCAAAGGGAAGGGACCUGCACGACUGCCCAAGGUUCCAGAUACCUUAAGAGUUAAGCAGGGAUUGGAUGCUGGGGUUCCCGUGUUCAUUUGCCCCUUUAUUCAACUAGUGCUUACUAAGUGCUUAAUGCAUCCCAAAUUAUGGAAGGACCUGGGAACAUAUGUAAGACACUAUUCAUGCUUUCAAGUUGCUUGUAGUUUAGUCAAGGAGCCAGCUUAGCAUCUAAAACCAUGCAACCCCAAUUUCUAACCACCAGUCAACUCUCCAGUAAGCCUUCUUCAUGACACAUUGAUAUGACUACAUGCUGGACAUUUUCUUGCGGAAAUCCAAAAGAAAUCCCCAUUUUCUUGCAGAAAUCUAAAAUAAUCUCCCCUAUGUGCAAGUCAGACUGAGCACCACUCCCAAGACCAUGACCUCCCCUGCAGCCCUGCUCCUUCCCACUCACCUCUCCUCUUGAGAAAGCCACCUCCCACCACCCAGUCUGCAGUGCCAGAAAACUGGAAACCAGCCCCUAAGCUGCUUUCACCUUCGGCCCAUUUCUCACUAGCCAGCCUCUCCCACGGCCUCCCCAGUUUCUUCAAAUACACCCCCUCCACUAUUCACCAUACUGCCACCGUGAUUUAUUUACAACUUUUUGUCCGGAUUACCUCAGUAGCCUUCUAAUUGUCCCCUUUGCAUCUAAAGUAGCCCCUCUCAUCCCCCAAAUCUUACGUCACUCUUCUACAUAAUUCUGGCUUUCCAUGACCCAUAAACCACAUUUCUCAAGUGUGCUCUAUGCUGGCUUGAAUAUGUUAAUAAUCUUAAUUCUACUUUUAGUGCAAUUUUCUUAGAGCUGGCAUCACUUUCAUCAUGACGUGAGAACUUACUAGAGAUAGGCAAUGAUGACUCACAGUCAAGCCACAUGUCAUAUGCUGCAGACAUCUGGACUGCUGCUUAUUUGCAAAUCCUUUUCUUCAUAUUUUUCUCAUUUGUAGCACUGGAUCAAUUCCAAUUAAGAGUUUAAUAAUGAAUUAACUAAUGAUUUAAACAGGUGGAUAAGACUAACACUGAACCAAUGAUUUUAAGUAAAUCUAAAUACAUAAAUCCCCCCAAAUUAUUAAUCUAUGUUGUUUACUAAGAAGUGUAUUAAAAUGAUAUUGAAAAAGUUUGCUUUGGGAAAGAGCUAGAAGUUAGAAGGUCUAGGUUCAAAUCCCGCCUCUACUCCAUCCUUGACUAAGAUGUUGGACCCAUCACCUCAACUUUCCUUGGGUCUUUUUGCCCAGACAUGACCCGAUGACACAGAGCUUACCUGGACCUCCACAAUAGUAAAUAGAACAGGGCCAGCAAACCAAAAUUUGUUGAGUCCUUUAGAAUUAAGUAGCUUAGAUAAAUUUUCAUCAAAAUCUUUAUAUAGUAGGGAAUAGAAAAAAGUCAAUUCUGUUUUAUUUGAGGAUGUAUGAAUAUGUUACCAUUUUUCAGACUCUGAUUUACCUUCCAAUUAUUGUUUAUUGGGGUCAUUGUAAAUUAGUUAUCAUUUUUUGAAUACACAUUCACUGCUGACAAAGUGGUGAAGCCAGAAGUUAUGUUUGACCAGGGAAGAUUAUGACCCUCAAAGGAGAAAAAUUCACAGGGGGUAGUUGAUUAUUGGUGGAAUGGAGUGAGAGUGAAUUCCUUAAAAGUUUAAACGAAAGCAGAACUAUAUUCAUAUCAUGGAGGGAACUUAGUUUCUAAUAUGAUGAACUAUUGCCCCAAGUCAUGACAAUACCUUGCUCUCUGGAAGAGAAUGAGUGAGUUUUUCAUCCGCCAAGAUACACACUCUAUAUUUCCAACCAUCACAUCUGCCUUGCAGGCUGACUGAACCCAGAGCAAAUCAAUCACAAAAGUUAAUCCAAAAGACUUCCCUUCAGCUGCUGGAAAUCAGUCAUCACAUCUGUGAAAAGAGUGCUAGUUAUAACAAAUGAGAUCACAAAUUUGACCAUUUUAUUAGACACCCUCUAUUAGUGUUAACAGACAAAGAUGAAGGUUAAGUUGAAAUCAAAUUGAAAUCUUCUUCCCUCUGUACAGAUUGCAAUAUCUGAUAAUACCCUCAACUUUCUUGGUGCAAAUUAAUUGCCUGGUACUCACAGUCCAGUGUUAACAGGCAAUAAUGGUGUGAUUCCAGAGGAGAGUACUAGGUGGCAGGAAAAUAAAUGAGAUUAGCAGUAUUUGACUUGGAGCCAUAGGCAUCAAUUCUGCUCCAGCUGUCGACCAGGUUCUAAAAACAAGACUCGGAGCAGCUUUUGCUCUUGCUAGUGAUGCAGGGCCAGGAGAGCCCCCACACUCUGCAUUUGCAGGUGUCCAUGAGGGGAAGCCACUCCUGCAUUUAUCCUGUGAGUGGAGAAGCUCAGAGGAAUGAGGACAUUCCAACAGGGUAUCAGAAUUCUCUUUUGUUUAUGCUAAUUGACAGCAGGAACAUCACCAUCUUGGACAAACACCACCAUUUUAAGUUCUCUUUUAUUUAAAAACUGCCUAAAUCCAGCCCCAAAACAUCAGCCUAAUGGCUAUUGUCAGCAUAAUCAGAAACAUUCCAACCCUAAGAUAAACACCCCUCUGGCCAGAAAUAUGCCGACCCCGAGACAGCCUCCCCUCCGACCAGAGACAUUCCAAACCCGCAGUAAACUUUCCUUCACAUGGAAACAUUCCAAACCUACAAAAAGCUUCCCUCUUCCUAAACCCUUAAAUAUCCUUAGUCUGCAAGAGAGAAUGCUCCUGACUGAAAUCAGCCAGAAGCCCCUCUCAGGUUUAUUCUCCAAAAUAAACCUGUCUUUGACUGUUGAGCCACUUUUUGUGUUUCUUUCCUCUUUGUUUAACCCUUACACUAAUGUUAAAUUUACAUAACAUUGAGUACUUCAUGCUUUCCAGAGAAUAAGGAGAAUGCACAUGAACUAAUGCAAAGUUACACAGGUAAUGUGACUUCAUCAUUAGCAUAUGGUGUUAUACAAAUAAAUUAUCCAAACUUUUGAAAUUGAUAUAUUUAUCAAUGGUAAAGCUAAUAAUUAUCAUUAACUGGAACCUUCCAUGUGCAAAAUACUACAUGUCUUAUGUCAUAAUCCUCAAAACCUGCAAACUAUUAUUAUUUACGUUUUAUAGAUAAGGAAACUAAUGAUCAGUGAGAUUGAAUCAACUGUUUUAAGUCAUCUAUAUAGUCAAUGAGACUAUAUUGACACCAGGUCAGUUUGAUUCCAAAUUAUAUGCUUUAUACCAUAUUGUGAUAAUAUAUACUUAGAGUUUCUACUUCUCUUGAGUUACACCAUGACCACCAUAAACUCAACCUGUCACUCAAAACAACAGAAAUGACAAUCCAAAGAUUCUGUAUUUGUAGGUUGAGGAUCAACUCAAAUAGUUACCUAAGUCCCAGACCAUUGUAGAAAACAUGGAUCUCCUAAAAUAGGAUGACAAGGCCAAGACCACCUUCGCCAGAUGGAGGCAGCAGAGAUCAGAGGAUUUGUAUACAGAAUCGCGCAGUCCCAGCUAAGUGAGGGCAGCUUGUCAACAGUAUAGGUAUAGGAAUACAAGAACGUGAAGUUGAUACACAGCUUUAGUCCUCACCUAAAAUCAUAUUGGAGACAUGGAGCAAGGUCAGUGAAGGGACAUUCAGCCAGAAAUGAGGAGGAAGAGGUCAAGAUGAACAGCAGGAGUCAGGAGUCUGUGUGUGAGCCAGUGAACCAGGAAGUCUCAGCCAGGUCAGCUGACCCAAAGGGAAAUCAGCUGCAUGGUCACUGUGCAGCUGAGUUUGAGUUGCAUGUUAUUCAUCUGCAUGGUCACUGUGCAACUGAGUUUGAAUGGCAUGUUAUUCAUCUUUUUUUCCAUAAGUGAGAAGUGUUUUAAGCUGGUAACUUUCUAGAUACCCACUUUAAUGUUAAUAGAUUUUUUUUCCAUCCCAAAAGGGAUGAAUGCAAAGGCCCUAGCAAGAACACAGCUAUCAUUUUCCACUGGAGUUAUUAUCCAGGGAUGGGGGUGGUGAACUCAUCCUGGCUCAUAAUGUGUUAGAAGAUAAAUCACUCCUUCUAAGUAAAAGCAAACCUUUCAGUGGUAUUUCUAGGAGAACACAUGCUGCCUGGUGAGCAGAGGUUACUCAGGAAUAUGCUGGUAAAUUGAGAGAAACCAUCCUCAUCUCCCACUCUCCAACACCCUCUGUUUUAAGAGCAGGAAAUUCGCUUCAAGGAAACAAGAACUCAUAGGGGUAGAAAGGAGCCCAGAGAUCACCUAGCUCAACUGUGCACUUUAUGAAUGUGAAAAUAAGAUACUGAGAAGGUGUUAAAUGCCAUUAGUUCACUAUCUUGCCUGUAUUGCAACAUCGGCCUUCUGUUUCCCUGUUGAGUUCUUUACUACAUGCUUAAAGCAACAUCAGACACGUAGGGGAGGCUGCACAGAAAGCAGAAGGCCAGUGAAGAAGGUUUACACAAUUCUCCAGAAAACAUAAAAGAGAAAAGGAUUGAAACUGACUCUUACGUUUUCAGAGAGAUAAAAUAUAAACAAGAAAAAUUUGAAAUUUAACCCCAGAAGACAGAUAAGAUCCUAUUAGUUUAAUCAAAAAGUUGGUAACACAAACACAUGACUAAGAUAAAGGGGCAUAAAAUGUACCUUACCCCCACCCCCAACAAAAAAAUCUAAUCUCAUCUAAGAUGCAGAAGAAAACAACUAUAAAUCAAGAAGAUACACAACUUAGGAGAAAUCUACCAGCCUGAAGCCAUCAAUAGUGUGGGGAACAUUUGGUUAAGGAUAAAUGGAGAGGAAGCUUAGCUGAUACAGUUUUAGAAUUGAGGUUAUGGAUGAUGUUAUCCUGGUACACAGACCUAGUAUCACAAACCUGACAGAGAAAUAAGAUCUAGUAGCAGCAAGGAAUUCCAACUAUGGACAUUUGCUGGAAGUCUCAUUCUCAGAAUAUCUGAUAAAUCCCUGGCUUGUCUUAUUGACAAUUUAAUCUCCCAGAACAGUGAGGUAAAAUUCAAUUCUCGAAUCAAAUAAAGGAGUUAUCCAAAAUUUUUCUUUUAUGGUAGUGUUUCUUAAGGAAUCAUUGGCCAACAUUGCAAAACCCAGUCUCUACUAAAAAUACAAAAAUUAGCUGGGCAUGGUGGCACGUGCUUGUAAUCUCAGCUACUCAGGAGGCUGAGGCAGGAGAAUUGCUUGAACCCAGGAGGCAGAGGUUGCAGUGAGCCGAGAUUACACCCCAGCCUGGGUGACAAGAGCAAAACUCCGUCCCAAAAAAAAAAAAAAAAAAAAAAAAGAUCCAUGAACCACUACUGGGUGUUCACAAGGUUAACAUGUUUUUUUGAAAAAUACUAUCACAUUUUUUAUUUUCACUCCUUUAAUAUUUGCAUGAAAGGUGCGAAAGCAAUGGUGAGUAAAACAUCCGUCCUUAGCAUAAAUCAACUAGUGGCAUCUAAUUGUCUGGUGGUCAUUUGAUUCUUCGCUACCACACACUCAAAUAAAUCAAUAUAUAAAUAAGUAAGCAGAAGCCACUGUUGUUUGUUCAAGAAUGUCCUAAUGAAGCAGUGGAAGUAUUAAUUUUAUUAAAUCUUGACCCUUGAGUACAGAUCUUCUUAAUAGUUUGUAUGGCAACAUGGAAAGUACACCACAGCUAAGGUAUGUCAAACUACAAUGAUUGUCUCAAGAAGAAGCAUCUGUGCAAUCAUUUGAGUUGCAAGCUGAACUAGCCACUUUUUUUUUUCAUGGAACUACCUUUUUAUUUGAAAAAUUAGCUAACAAAGUAUAUGUAUUCAGGUUUGGUCAUUUAGCAGGCUUUUCUUGAAAUAAAAGGAGAGAGUGUGUAAUGUCAAGGAAAAGAAUUGAUAGUAUUUGUGGUCUAAUAAAACUUCAGUUUUCUGGUGAAAUUAGAAUUUCUGAAAACUUUUACUCACCAAGAUGACCCUGACGGUGGCAAAUAUUUGAACACUUUUCUAGUGAUGUCAAUGGUGGGUUUUUUGAUAUCAUACAAUUACAUGUGUAAACAUUUGAAAAACCAAAUGCAUGAUGUUGCAAAAUCAUGCAUGAGUAAAAAGUAGCAUUCAAAGUGCAAGACAGACUAAUGGAUUUUAAUGCAAAAGAGUAUGCAAAAUUUAUCAAUAGGUUUCCAAUUUCAUAUCACAAGCAACUUUAAGAAAACAUUACUACUCAAAAUUGUUGUUGUUAACGUCAAUAAAGAAUAUCCGCAGUUAACUGAAAAGGCUGUAAAAUAACCCUCUCAUUUUAACCCAUUUAUGCCUGAGGUUGCAAUUUUUUGAAUUUGAAAAAUCAGACCUUGGUGAUGGCCUUGAGCAGUAGGAUAUAAAUAACUCCCACAUGCUUAGCGUUCCAAUAAUGGAACAGUAGGCAUAAAUGGCACCAACAAUUUUGACUAUAAACUACCUAUUUGAGUUUAUAUUUUCUUCAUUUACUUCAGCCAAAGCAAUAGCACAGCAGACUAAAUGCAGAAUCAGAUACGAGAAGCCAGACACCAAAGAAAUUCAUAGAAAUUAAAACAAUACUAUUCUUUCCACUAAUUAUUUUUAAAAUGUCAUAUAAAAUUGGCGUGUCAUAUAACAACAUCAUAUAAAAUUCAAUAUAAAUUUCAAUGAGUUCAUUGCUAUUUUUAAAUUAAUUCUCUAAACAUUUUUAUGGUAAAUGUCAAUAAUAACUCACAUUAGUGAAAGCUCUUUGGGGUCCUCCAUCAUUUUUAAAGGCAUAAAGGGAUCCUGAGAUGAAAAUGUUUCAUAACCUCUGUUUCAUGAUAGCCCCAACCUCCACCAUUCCCAGCAAACCUAUUUCCCUUAACUUGCUUAAUUUUUUCCGUAGCACUCAGCCCCUCCUAGCAUAUUUUGCUUUGAUUCUCUGUUUGAUGUUUAUCUCCCACAACUGGAAUCUUUACUCCAUGGUGAAGGAACCUUGUCAUAGUUUUGUGCACUCUUCUAUUCUUGGUGCAGAAGAUAUCCUGGCAUAUAGUAGGCACUCAAUGAAUAUUUGUUGAGUGAAUGACUUAAGUGAAUGAUUAAUAAUAUCUGUCCUUCAAAGGCUUCCCGCCACCAGCCCUCCCAUUUUUAUGGUGCAAGUCUCUAGGAUUUUCCAUCAGUGUCUGUCUGAACUUGAGCAGACCCACAGUUGCUACCCGAGACAUGCUUGACCUUGCCUGUUUAUACCCCUCUGCAAGGAGAGCUCAGUGCAUACUGUAGAUGAUUUUUCACCUGGAAAAGUCUCUUUAAAACUCAGAGCACUAUGUCAGUCUUGUAUCCAAACAUCCUAAAGUAUUUCCAUUUCCUUUUAGUAAAAUUACAGAGCAGCACUUCAGGCACUGCCAGACGCCUUGGUCUCGAACUGCGACCACUAAUUGUCUACUCAGACUAUGUUGCUUUAACGAGGGAAAGUCGAAGCUUCUUCACCUAACGAUAACACUAAUCUCAAAAUCACAAGCUUAUAGCUUAAGACAAAUUCAGAAAAAUGUCUGGGAGUAUUAUUUAAAAAGUACAAGCUCACUAUGAGUGAAACAGAUUAUGAUACAAUCUUGUGCUGUGCCCAUUAAGGAUAGUGUUGACCAAAAAAAAAAAAAAUUAGUGCUUUUGCACAUAAUUUGUACUGGCAAAGCCACAUUUCCAAAGAAGGAGUCAUAAAUGAAAUUGUCAUAGAAGGGAGAGAUGAGGGCAAACAAGGAAUGCUUUGUCUAAGAGAGUGAAGACAGUGGGGCAUGAGGGUUGUUUUCAGAUACAUUAAGGCCUCAGUCCCUGUGGCCCUGGGAGUCAACGCUAGAUAAAUUGGUAUAAGGGAAGCAGUUUUAACAUUAUCAUAAAUAAAUACAUAAUAAUUUCAGGUAUUUGGGAGUGGGACAGAUUCCCUUGCCUGGCUGCGAGCGUGCCUUUCUCUAGAGUAUUUAAGAAUGCUUAUUGGCUAGCUGCAGGAAGAAACCUUAAGACAGGGAUUUCUUCAUUAGUUUGGCUUGGAAGGAUGAAGGGGUUCUUAUAUGUCUUUUAAAGUUUUGAGGGUUUGUUGUUUGUUUUACCAAUAAGAUUAUGGUAAAAAUAUAGAUUCCUAUUUUUGUAUUCUAGUAUAUUUCUGCAUUUAUUUAUUUUUUGUCGGGGGGGUGGGACGGAGUUUCGCUCGUUUCCCAGGCUGGAGUGCAAUAGCGUGAUCUCGGCUCACCACAACCUCCACCUCCUGGGUUCAAGCAAUUCUCCUGCCUUAGCCUCCUGAGUAGCUGGGAUUACAGACAUGCACCACCAUGCCUGGCUAAUUUUGUAUUUUUAGUGGAGACGGGCUUUCUCCAUGUUGGUCAGGCUGGUUUUGAACUCCCGACCUCAGGUGAUCCGCCUUCCUCAGCCUCCCAAAGUGCUGGGAUUACAGGCGUGAGCCACUGAACCUGGCUAUUUCUGUAUUUUUAUGUGCCACUUUUUAUGACAAUUAAUUCAGAAAAUUCAGAACAAUAACACUGUAUUUCAAUUGCUUGCAAAUUUAAAAUAUUUCUCUAUAAACAUUCAUUCAUUUUUACUGUUUAAAGGAAAGGAUGACAUUGAUGGCAUAAUACUGAAUCUUAAUUCUUCAAUAAAGUUAUUAGUAAUUUUCUUUAUUUUACAUGAAGUAACUACUUCACUAGACCCUUCAUUGAUGGUGCAAAGGGGAAACUUGAACACAAGCCCUGUGAGAUAAAUUAACCUGGCUGAACCUGCUGUCACUAACAACCUCUCCAGUCAGGUGAAAUGUCCAGCUUGUUAACUAAGAUGCAAUUGAGUUUCUUUUUUUUUCUCUUUUCUUUUCUUUAUUUGAGACAGGGUUUUACUCUGUUGCCCAGGCUGGAGUGCAGUGGCAUGAUCACAGCUCACUGCAGCUUCAACCUUCUGGGCUCCAAUGGUCCUCCCACCUCAGCCUCCUGAAUAGCUGGGACUAAAAGUGCACACCACCAUGCCUGGCUAAUUUUUAUAUUUUUUGUAGAGACAGGGUUUGUCAUGUUGCCUAGGCUGGUUUCAUACUCCUUGGCCCAAGAGAUCCUCCCACCGUAGCCUCCCAAAGUGCUGGGAUUACAGGUGUGAGCCACUGCGCCAGGCCCUGAGUUUCUAAAGAAUUGUUAAAACUGCCUUAACAUAUUUUUGAGACAUACACACACAAAAUCUUGGAAUGCAAAUUGAUGAUGGCAGAACAUCCAGCCUAUAGAGUGUGAAAUUAACAGAAUCCAAGAGCACAGAAAUAAUCUAAUCAGUUGACCAAAUGAAUAAUUCUUACUUUGACUCUCUGGGUUACCUAGACAGAAUAUUUAGAAAGGUGGUAAUAAACUACAGAGAAUCUAGCAAAGUAUGGGAUAAAUUGUCAGAUUAAAAAUAAUAACUGUAUAUACAAAAUUGAUUGUAUUUAUGUGAGCAAUGAACAAUUGGUCAUUGAAAUUUUAAAAUAUUACUGUUUGAAAGAGCAGCAAAAACUUAGGGAUGAGUCUAACAAAAGAUGUGGAAGAUUUGUAUGAUGAAAGCUGUGAAACAUUGGUGAUAAAAAUGAAAGAAAUCCAAUAAAUGUAGAGGAUGUAUGGUGUCCCUGAGUGGAAAGCCCCAAGGUUGUUAAUACAUCAGUGCUCCCGCAAAAGAUCCAUAGACUCACAUAAUACAAAUAAAAUUCUUAGAAGGGCUUUUUUUUGGGGUUAAAAUUUAUGAGUUGAUCCUAAAGUUUAUACAACAAAGCAAAGAACUUAAAACACCGAAAACAGUUUUGAAGAAAAAAAAAAUCAGAGAACUUGUUGUACCUAAUUUCAAGACUUACAGAAAAGCACAGAAAUCAAGGAAGGUAUUGGUAAAAGAAGAGACUUUCUAGCUCAAUGGAUCUGAAUAGAGAUUCCAGAAAUAGACCUACACAUACAUGGUCAGUUAUUUUUUGACAAUGGUGCCAUUUAAUGGGCAAAAGAUAGCCAUUUCAACAAAUUAUACCAGAACAAUUGUUCAUCCAUAUGCCAAAAAUAAAAUUUAUAUGAAAAAAGUGAAAUUUACACUAUAUAAAAUUAACUUGAAACAGAUCACCUAAAUAUAAGACCUACAACUAUAAAACCUCUAGAAGAAAAUACAGAAGAAAAUUAUUGAGACCUUGGCAAAUAAAUCUUAAGACACAAAAGAAAAAUUCUGCUGAUCAUUUUUAGACAUUUAGCGUGUCAUCUGAUUUCUCAACAGCAGCACUGAGAGUUGGAAGGCAAUGGCAUAAUAUGCUGAAAGAACAUGAUAACUGUCAACCAGAUUUAUAUCCUCAGUGAGAAUAUUUUUAGGAAUGAGAGCUAUACCUAUUUCCAGACAAAAUAAAACAGAAAUUUGCCACCGAAAAAAGAAAAAAUCAUAAAAGAAGCAAUUGAUUAACUGGACUUCAUCAAAAUUAAAAACUUCUGCUCUUUGAAACAGACUGUUAUUAAAAAAAAAAGUAAGCUGCAGGCUGUCAUUCAGGCUGGAAUGCAGUGUGCAAUCAUGGGCCCCUGGGCUUAAGUGAUCCUCCUGCCUCAGCCUCCUGAGUAGCUAGAAAUAAAGGCCCAAGCCACUGCACCUGGCUAAUAUUUUUUUAAAAAAUUUAUAGAGAUAGGGUCUUGCUAUCUUGCCCAGCCUGGUCUCAAACACCUGGUUUCAAGCCAUUCUCUCACUUUGGCCUCCCGCAGUGCUGGCAUUCCAGGCAUAAGCCACCACACUGGGCCUCUACUCUACUUUUCGAUGUUUAGGUAUGUUUAGAUACACAAAUACCUACCAUUGUGUUAACAAUUGCCCGUAUAUUCAGUAGAAUCACAUGCUGUACAGGUUUGUAGCCUAGGAAAAAAGUAUGGCACACUGUUCAGUAAAAAUUUGCAGGGUAAAAUAAGCGAAUAAAAUCCCACUUUGUUGUUGUUGUUGUUUUCUAUUAUCCAAGAGAACUUUGAAAUAGCUCCAGAAAACAUAUUUCUUAUUCCAAACACAUUCAUCUUCAUUUCGAAAGUAAAAAAACUAAAAUACUAACUCAGAGAAAAAUCAAAUGUUUAAUUUUGGAAAGUAUAAAAAUUUACCAAGAUUAUUAACAAGUAGUUACAUACUUGAUUUAAAAUGCAUGUUGUCCUUUAAGCUGCACAGACCAAAGAAGUCUUUUCCAAGCUUCUUGGUGCAGAACUAUGCUGACUCAACUGAGUACUCACCCAGGCUUGGGGUCAAUUCAAACCUUCCUUUAAUUAAAAAAAAAAAAUUUCUCCCUCCCUGAAGCAAGCUUCCUUCCAUGCUGCUACUGUUAUGUGAAGAUGGAGCAGCCUCUUUCCAAAAAUCCCAUAAAUCAGCAGCUCUUAGAUUUCAUGGCAUCAUGUUGAUAUUGCUUCUUGACUCUCUAAGGUUUAGCAUUUUUUGAUCACCUUUUCUUCUAAGAAAGAAUCUCAGCUUUUUGGUAGUAAGUUGAGAGUUAAACUUCCGAUUGACAGCUACUUAACUCAUGUCCAAAAAUGUUGAGAUAAAUGGUAGUUGAGACAGUCCAAGGAACAAGUUGAACUUUGUCAUUAGAUACUUGUGUCAAGCAGAGCAUGAGAAUGUAAACUCCUUGGUUUAAAAUGAUUUGGUCCUCAUAGAAGCCCUUUCCCUGAACAAAGAUUCAGGACCAUGCUCUCAGCUCUUACCAAAGGCUGGUAUAAGAAAAACCUUCGUGAAGUGCAGUUAUUUAUUAUUUUUAAGUAAAGUUUAUUUUUUCCGUAUAUGAGUAAUUCAUACUCAUUAUAGACAAAUUGGAAAAAUACAGAAAAGCAAAAGGAAGAAAAAUUUUAAGAUAGUCCCAUUCCCCAAAACAAUAUGGUUCAUUUCCACUCUCUCUUUGUUCUAUGAAAUUAUUUUUAAAAUCUUCCGGUAAGAUAAUAAACAUAAUUUACAAAGCAUAUGUUUUCUGGGAAAAUAGUUCUGAGGACAUGGUUUAUGUUAUGUCCCUAAUAAGAGUCUACAGGAUUUCUUGAUAGAAUAUAAAAUUGUCUCUUAUAGCAAGUCAAUAUGGUUUCUUUUAUCACACAAACUGCAUAGAGCAUUAUCUUAUUUCUCUAUUAUACUGGGUAACAAGAAAUUCAGACAAUUUCGUGCUCAUUUUUAGUAAUGUUCUCCCCUAAUCUUCCUCUUCCCCCUCUCUUUCCAUGUGAGUUCUGUUUUCUCUUUUAUCUUUAUUUUAUCUACCAUGCAUAUAAAAUAUAAAUGAGCCCCUUUUUGUAAAAAUCACUUACCAACUCCCUUUUGAGGAAAGUAAGACGCAAAUAAAUAGAUUGGCAGUCUGGGAGAAGCACAGUAACUCUUUUACUUUUAUUCUGGUGAAAAUGCAAAGAAUAAAACCUAAUAUUCACCAGAGGAGAAGGGACACACAGGGUGAGACAGAAAAACAUACAGGGGCUGGGGACGGUGGCUCACGCUGUAAUCAGAGCACUUUGGGGGCCAAGGUGGGCAGAUCACUUAAUGUCAGGAGUUUGAGAUCAACCUGGCCAACAUGGUGAAAUCCCGUCUCUACUAAAAAUACAAAAUUUGUCAGGUGUGGUGGUGUGUUCCUGUAUUCCCAGCUACUCAGGAGGCUGAGGCAGGAGAAUUCCUUGAUCCCGGGAGGUGGAGGUUGCAGUGAGCUGAGACAGCCUCACUGCACUCAGCCUGGGCCACAGAGCGAGACUCCAUCUCAAAUAUAUAUAUAUAUAUAUAUAUAUAUAUUUUUUUUUUUUUUUUUGAGACAUGGAGUGUCUACAAACUACAAAAUUCAACCAUAACACUAAGAUCUUGCUGGGUACAAAAAUGUACACACACAAAAAUAAAAUAAUAAAUGUGAUGCACGGAAGAUAAGCAGACUAAUGUUUAUUGGGAUAAUUUCGCUUACUAACCAUGCUAUAUCCUGUUAUCACUCACCUCAAACCCUACUGUCAUCUAAAAGGGGAAUCCCUUUCCUUGUAGGUGAAAAGGGAUUCUCCUUUUAUAUGGCAGUAGGGUUUGAAUGCAUUCUUGGUUAUUCUGAAUGCACUCAAAAUAUCAAACUGUAGCCGUUUUGUUGCUCGUGAGUAUCUCAUGCUACUGUUGCCCUGAAAAGUCCAUGCAGUAUGGAGAUGCUGAAGGGAACUCAGGCCACUUCGACAGGUCAGUUAUAUGGUAAGGUGGGAAUGGGCAGAGAACGGGGAUGACGUGGAAAAUAAUAUAAAUUUUAAAGACUCUAAGGGUAAAACUAUUAAAAAGAGAAAAUUCACAAGUUUGGAAAAUAAAAAGGGAAAUGAGUUUAAUGCAAGUCAUGGAAUCUACUGGACUAUCCUCUGCGAGAAGAUUUAGGACGUUAGCUCAUGGUUGUUGAGCUGGGACUGGCUCUGCAGAGAAGAGAGGAAGAAGCUUGGGAUACUGUUGGAAGAUUAGGGAGAUCCUGGGAAGGCCGAGUGUGUUUUGAUAAAUGCAGUUUCAGCCUCACACAUUGAAAGAUCUGAGAAAAUACAAUAAAUUGAUAAUAUAAUAGUAAAGAUAAUAGUCAUAAAAAUGACAGUGUUUUGCAAUUAAUGUGCUGCCUUUGUAUUUGCUAACAUUAUUAAACCUUCAAAAUCCUGAUUGAGUAGGUGGAGCAUAUUAUUAUUAUCCCCAUUUUCAAUAUCAGGAAGUGAAGCUCAUCGUUGGCCAAAUGGCUUACCUGAAGUCACACAGUAAGUGACAGUAUACCUCUCAGAAAAUGUCCCAACAGGGAGGGAAAAAGCAUGGCACACUGUUUAGUAAAUAUAUGUAGGAUGAAAUGAAUGAAUAAAAUCCUACUUUGUUGUUGUUGUUUUUUCUAUUUCCAUUAUCCAAGAGAACUUUGAAAUAGCUCCAAAGGCCGGGCACAGUGGCUCAUGCCUGCAAUCCCAGCACUUUGGAAGGCCGAGGUAGGCACAUGACCUGAGGUCAGGCAUUUGAGACCAGCCUGGCCAACACGGGGAAACCCCGUCUCUACUAAAAAUACAAAACUUAGCUGGGUGAGAUGAUGUACGCCUGUAAUCCCAGCUACUCAGGAGGCUGAGGCAGGAGAAUUGCUUGAACCUGGGAGGUGGAGGUUGCAGUGAGCUGACAUCGCACCACUGCUCCAGCUUGGGCAAAAAGAGCGAAACUCCGUCUCGGAAAAAAAAAAAAAUAGCUUCAGAAAAUAUAUUUCUUAUUCUGAGCAAAUGCAUCUUUAUUUCUAAAGAAAACCAACUAAAACACUAACUCAGAAACAAAAUCAAAUGUUUAAUUUUGGAAAGUAUAAAAAUUCAAAAAAAGAAAACUAAUAUUACUGAUACCCCAGAGAUAAGCACAAGUAACAGUUUGGUGUUAUCCCUACAGUUGAUUUUCUAUGUGUUUUUCUGCAUGUAUUUUUUGAAGUUACAUAUAUCAUGCAUAAAUUUGUUUUUCAGAAUUUACAAAUAUAUUGUAAACAUUUUACCAUCAAUAAAUGCUACAGCAUGAUUUUGUCUCUAUUAUGGUAAAAAACAUGCAACAUGAGUUCUACCCUCAACAAAUAUUCAAGUAUACAACAUAGUAUUGUUAACCAUGUGUGCACUGUUCUACAGCAAAUCUCUAGAACUUUUUCAUCAUUCAUGAUCAAAAUUCUAUACCCAUUAAACAGCAACUCCCCAUUCGGCCUAUCCCCCAGUCCCUGGCAACCACCAUGCUAUUUUCUGCUUCUAAGAGUUUGGUUACUUUAACUACUUCAUAUAAGUAGAAUCAUGUAGUAUUUGUCCUCUGACUGGCUUAUUUCACUUAAUAUAAUGUCCUCAAGUUUCAUCUAUGUUGUAGCUACAUGACAGAAUUUCCUUUUUUCUUAAGGCUGAAUAACAUCACACACACACACACACACACACACACACACACACACACACACACACAGUGUAUUUCCAUUAUUUUGAAUAAAUACCCAGAAGUGGGGUUGCUGGAUCAUAUGGGAGUUCUAUUUUAAAUUUUUUGAGGAGCCUCCAUAUCUUUUUUUCAUAAUGGCUGUACCUACCAAUUUACAUUCCCACCAAGAGUGUACCAGCCUUUCAAUUUCUCCACUUCCUUGCUAAUAUUUGUUAUUGUCUCUUUUUGUUUUUUGUUUAAAUAAUGGUUAUCCUGACAGGUGUGAGAUAAUAUCCCACUGUGCUUUUGAUUUGCCUUCCCCUGCUGAUUAGUGAUGCUGAGCACCUUUUCAUAGACUGGUGGCCAUUUGUAUGUCUUUUUUGGAGAAAUGUUUGUCCAAAUCCUUUGCCUAGUCUUUAACUGGGUUAUUUGGUUUUUUGCUAUUAAGUUGUAGCGGUUCCUCACAUAUUUUGGAUAUUAGUCUCUUAUAUAUAUGACUUGCAAAUAUUCUCUCCAAUUCCAUAGGAUGCCUUUUGCUCUGCUGAUUGUUUUCUUUGCUGCACAGAAGCUUUUUGGUUUCAUAUAGUCCCACUUGUCUGUUUUUGCUUUUUUAACCUCUGAUUUUGGUGUCAUAGUCAAGAAAUCAUUGCCAAGACCAGUCGUGUAAGGCACCUCCCCUACAUUUUUUUUCUAGGAGUUUUAUAGUUAUAGCAUGAUUUUUAAAGACUGCCUAAUAACUCAUUGGUUGGAUCUACCAGAAUUUAUUUAACUAACAUUCAGGUACUAAACAUAUAAGUUGUUUCUAAGUUUUGGCUAAUUUAAACUUUGCUACAAUAAACAACUUUGCAUCUAAAUUUCUUUGCACCUAUCCAUGCAUACUUCCCUAAGAUUAAAUUCCUAUAAAUACAAGCGGUAAGCCAAAAGCAUUAAACAUUCGAAGUCUUUGGAUAUUUAUGGAUACAAUGUACCCCUUGGCCAAUGUUAGAGUAUGAAAAUAUGUAGAAUAAAUGGCAAUGGGGAGGUAGAAUAGACUCCACAUUCUGUGCCUUAUCAUAUGUACACCACACUUAGAAUCCAGAUAAUUUCAAUGGGGAAGAACUGAGGGAGAUGCAAAGGAAGCUUAUUGGGUUUCACAAAAGCCCACUGGUAAAUGACAGAGAACGUGAAAGGCCACAUGUCUAAUCAGAGACUUUUAUUAUAGAAUAGUAUAAAACAAAAAAGCAUGUCAAAAAAAUAGAUAAGGCAACAAUAAUCACAAAAAAUUCCCAGGUCUAAUCCAUGCGGGAGGGAGCUCAAGGCCAGGACAAGCCACUUGUUGGCAACGAUCAUAAAAUACUCGCACGCAACAGAGAAAAAAGCAAAAUUCUUCCUAUGUCCCCCUUUUUUUUUUCCUGUUAUGACAAAUGACCUACAAAUGAAAAAGUGUAAGAAUAUUGGAAGAAGAUGUCAUUUCAGAGGAGUUUUACUCUUUAGUUUCAGACAGUCUUUCCCAGGGUGGUAGGAAAGGUUAUGCAGAUGGGUAUGAAUACAUGCUGUUGGCCGUCUUUUGAGAAAUAACAUAGGUAUUAUUAUUAUAUUGAGAAUAGCUUACGGAGAAGAAGCACUGGACAUCUUGAUCUGGAUAUAUUCUGAGUAGAUAUUUUUAAAAAAGGUGGUGGGGGUGAAGGAUGGAAACCAUCAUGACCAUAGACUGGUAACCUUGUCAUUUCUCCAGGGAAAAUACUCAGGCAGAGAAUUAAAAGGAGGAUUCUGGAGCAUUCUUUAGCAAAAUAAGUGAUUGCCAAGAUCAUGAGAAAUGGAUCAGGCUAAUGGGGCUACCGCCUCCCUGGCACAUGCCCCUGUGUGCACCAGAUGCAGCUUCCCCUCUUGAGCUAACACAGCCCUGCAGUCCAUGCCAGAGUGGACAACGUCCAUCAGAAACGUCCAUCAAUGUCCAUCAGAAAGAGGCACCUGGAAGGUGUCUUUGGGCAGAAAUAAUCCUCCAACACAGCUGGAUUUAAGCUCCCACUGACUGCCUUGGGCAGAUGCCCUUGUUUAGAGCUGAGAUUCCAUCAUGCCAAACUAGAACGGUAUAGCAUUUGUGGUUAAGAGCUUGGCUGUCUGAUGGGCUUGGAUUAGCUUCAGACCUACCUGUUACUAGCUUAGUGACCUCUUUGUGACAUCUUCUGUCCUGUAAAGUUGAUGUCUUAAUGAUGUCUUCCUUGCUGUGCUUGUUUGAGAAGAAAAAGCUAGACCAGCAGGAUAAAAGCUCCCAUAAAUAACAUUAUGUUUCAAUGCAAGGAAGAAUGUUCUUUAAAAAGUCACCUGAUAAAAACAGAAUGGGCUGCCCAUGAGAUGGUCACAGCCAGGGUACGAUGAGGCAGAGUUGGGAUGGUUCUUUUCUCGUCUCCUCUAGACUGUGUGUCCUGAUUCUAAGAACUUCAGAAAACAUUACGUGCAUUUUAAAAAGCUGUAUGAACAUGUGGUGCUGCUGUGAGCAGUGGAUGGAUUGUGCUGUUUACAGGACAACCCCCACGAGGAAGUAGAAUGUUAAAAAAAUAAGCAAACAACAGACCAGGAAACCUCUGGUAGACCUGUCCUUUGUCACAUUUUGCUUCAAACACUCAAGUCAAAAGGAAUUGUUUAAUGGCUACAAUGAUAAAAGAUCCUUUCCAGAGAGAAGAAGUGAUUUAAAAAUUGAUGUCAAUGAAAUAUGUCAGUUAUCUUAUAUGAAAUGACCCUCUGACCAUCCAGGAUUUUGUGUGUGUGGUUUUGUGUGUGUGCGUGUGCGUGUGUGUGUGUGUGUGUGUGUGUUUUACCAGGGAAUUCAUUUAGAUUGUUAUUUCCCAAAUGAGUUGAGAUCAUGGAUUUUUACCAACAUACAUAAUUAAAGGCUCCAAUUAAUACUAUUUCCACAGUAAUUCCUUUUUUUCUAAGUUGUAUAACUUAGACUGCAGAUUUAGCAGAGACGUGACAUUUCACUAAAAAGUAGAAAUCAUAGACAAGUGUAGGGAUUUUCAUGAUGCCUAAAACAAAAGAUCAGUUAUUAAAAAUAAAGGCCUUCCCCCAAUAAAAAUGUCUAUCCGUUUGAAGUUUUAAUACGGUCUUAAAACAUUACAAAUAACUAACUUUACUUCGAAUAACAAAUAUUUGAAAAAGAAAAUAGGGUUGAAAGCCCAACUCUUAGAAACAACUUCCUAGAGAAAUCUUCCAGGCAUAAAUUACUUGUAAAAAGUAGCUGUGUCUGGAAAAGUGGGUAAAUAAUUUACUAUUCCAAUACAGAAACUUGCUAUUAAAGGAACAUGAAUGAAUCCUUUUAUUUAAAGAAGAAAAACCAAAAAAACAUUUAACAAGAGAAUUAGCAUUUCCCUACUUAUCUAUAUUAUAAUUUUGCACAUCAGUUUUUCUUGAGGUGUAAAAUACUAGCAAUAAUAAAUAAGCUAUGUUAUAAAAAUCUAAAAGUUAUUUAACAUGAUUUAUCUUAUUUGUUCUGUGUGACAGAGUUUGGGAGAACAGCUACCUACGGUACCAUUGAAGCAUAUGCACAACUAUGAAAUCAUGAAAGUGUGAACCUAGCCAAGGUCUCAAUCUUUACGGGUCCCACUUUUCUUAUCUUCACAAACAAGGAAGUUGGGUUAGAUUAAGUGUUUAAUGCUAACAUCCUUCUCUCUCUCUCUUUUAAAAACUAGAGCAUUUAUUAUAUGACUAAUUAUUAUUAUUAUUAUUAUUUACAUUUUAAUUUUUCUCUUAAAUUUCUUUUCUUUUUUAAAUUAUUAUUAUACUUUAAGUUUUAGGGUACAUGUGCACAAUGUGCAGGUUAGUUACAUAUGUAUACAUGUGCCAUGCUGGUAUACUGCACCCACUAACUCGUCAUCUAGCAUAGACAUCUACAGA
Molecule: long non-coding RNA, 19481 nt
Filed under: Homo sapiens (human)
Lineage: Eukaryota; Metazoa; Chordata; Mammalia; Primates; Hominidae
Description: non-protein coding LINC00707:15
Source: RNAcentral